Molecule: transfer RNA, 73 nt
Organism: Theobroma cacao (cacao)
Lineage: Eukaryota; Viridiplantae; Streptophyta; Magnoliopsida; Malvales; Malvaceae
Rfam family: tRNA
About the family: Transfer RNA (tRNA) molecules are approximately 80 nucleotides in length. Their secondary structure includes four short double-helical elements and three loops (D, anti-codon, and T loops).
Source: Rfam
GGGGGUGUAACUCAUAUGCUAGAGCGCUCGCUUCGCAUGCGAGAGGCACGGGGUGCGAUUCUCCGCACCUCCA